RNAcentral lists this ribosomal RNA (253 nucleotides) under uncultured bacterium. RNAcentral's name for it is "partial 16S ribosomal RNA". It matches the Rfam family "Bacterial small subunit ribosomal RNA", at positions 524 to 776 of the family's 1533-position model. The record is from RNAcentral.
UACGGAGGGUGCAAGCGUUAUCCGGAAUCAUUGGGUUUAAAGGGUCCGUAGGCGGAUAAUUAAGUCAGAGGUGAAAUCCCACAGCUCAACUGUGGAACUGCCUUUGAUACUGGUUAUCUUGAGUUUUAGUGAAGUAGAUAGAAUAUGUAGUGUAGCGGUGAAAUGCAUAGAUAUUACAUAGAAUACCGAUUGCGAAGGCAGUCUACUAACUAACAACUGACGCUAAUGGACGAAAGCGUGGGGAGCGAACAGG